Molecule: non-coding RNA, 229 nt
Organism: Biomphalaria pfeifferi
Lineage: Eukaryota; Metazoa; Mollusca; Gastropoda; Planorbidae
Source: the annotation of a GenBank genome assembly
UCCCCCCCCCCCCCACUUCCCAGAAGUCACAGAUGAUCUCCGUGAAUUUCUGAGCAUUGACAACUGGGAUUUCCUCUGGGAUUACCUCACCGAUGGUAGGAGUUUUGUGAUCCACAUCAAUUAAUGAAUUCAGCCAAGUCAAUAUGUCAACACUGUAUAACAAACGUAUGCAUGGGGAUCAACCUACUAUUCUGUCACCAUUGUGUACUUUUGGCAUUCAGAGGACAUC